ACGCUGGCGGCGUGCCUAAUACAUGCAAGUCGAGCGAAGUUUUUCUGGUGCUUGCACUAGAAAAACUUAGCGGCGAACGGGUGAGUAACACGUAAAGAACCUGCCUCAUAGACUGGGACAACUAUUGGAAACGAUAGCUAAUACCGGAUAACAGCAUUAACUGCAUGGUUGAUGUUUAAAAGUUGGUUUUGCUAACACUAUGAGAUGGCUUUGCGGUGCAUUAGCUAGUUGGUGGGGUAAAGGCCUACCAAGGCGACGAUGCAUAGCCGACCUGAGAGGGUGAUCGGCCACACUGGGACUGAGACACGGCCCAGACUCCUACGGGAGGCAGCAGUAGGGAAUCUUCCGCAAUGGGCGAAAGCCUGACGGAGCAACGCCGCGUGAGUGAAGAAGGAUUUCGGUUCGUAAAGCUCUGUUGUUAGGGAAGAAUGAUUGUGUAGUAACUAUACACAGUAGAGACGGUACCUAACCAGAAAGCCACGGCUAACUACGUGCCAGCAGCCGCGGUAAUACGUAGGUGGCAAGCGUUGUCCGGAAUUAUUGGGCGUAAAGCGCGCGCAGGUGGUUUAAUAAGUCUGAUGUGAAAGCCCACGGCUCAACCGUGGAGGGUCAUUGGAAACUGUUAAACUUGAGUGCAGGAGAGAAAAGUGGAAUUCCUAGUGUAGCGGUGAAAUGCGUAGAGAUUAGGAGGAACACCAGUGGCGAAGGCGGCUUUUUGGCCUGUAACUGACACUGAGGCGCGAAAGCGUGGGGAGCAAACAGGAUUAGAUACCCUGGUAGUCCACGCCGUAAACGAUGAGUGCUAAGUGUUGGUCUCAUAAGAGAUCAGUGCUGCAGCUAACGCAUUAAGCACUCCGCCUGGGGAGUACGACCGCAAGGUUGAAACUCAAAGGAAUUGACGGGGACCCGC
Molecule: ribosomal RNA, 910 nt
Filed under: uncultured bacterium
Lineage: Bacteria
Description: bacterial SSU rRNA
Rfam family: Bacterial small subunit ribosomal RNA
Source: RNAcentral